This is a non-coding RNA of Tinamus guttatus (white-throated tinamou), 165 nucleotides long. NCBI's taxonomy places the organism in Eukaryota, Metazoa, Chordata, Aves, Tinamiformes, Tinamidae. The record is from RefSeq and is a predicted model, not a curated record.
UGUUUUCAAGUACAUAGUUUUUAGAUCUUACACUGGAGAGGAAACCAUUGAAAAGGAGUUAGAACACAUUUUCAAAACAAAAUGAUCAAAAAUAACAGGACUACACACACUGCCUGAAAUUAAUCUCAGUUCCGAGAAAGGACCUGAUUUCAAGUUGAUGAUGCG